ACAUCAACUGCUCCAAAUCCUCAACUUCAAGAGGGGUAUCCUCAUCUAGUUCCUGGGCUUGGUCAAGUUCUGUGCCCUGGUCAGGCUCUUCCACAUUGGACACCACUCCUUUGUUGAUAUCAUCAUGCAAAGCAGCUGUCGAGGUUGAGGUCUGUGGCUCCUCCUUAUCACAAAGGGUUCCAUUCUCUUGAUUGCAUUCUGGGAAAAUAUUAUUUUGAGCAGCCAGUCCUCCCAUACUUGAGGGUCCCGCAAAAUCAUUUGCAGAAACCCAUCCUGUAUACGUGUCUUCAUGUGGUUCAGCUGAACCCGCAGAUAGGAUUUCAUACUCAAAUUCAUAAUCAGAUUCUUCUUCUGACAGGUCUAGUAGAGAGAAUUCAAACAUUUAGCAUUCUACUUAAAAGUACGUACAGGUUAUAAACCAAAUGGAAGUGGUAUAAUAUAAAACCUUCUUCUCUUUCAGGUAACGAUGGUUCAGCAAUCUUAUCGCCUGAUUUCAGAAUCAUUCCAGGCCACAUAUGUGCAGAAAGAGCACCAAAGAGUCGUUCA
RNAcentral lists this long non-coding RNA (546 nucleotides) under Prunus persica (peach). RNAcentral describes it as "long non-coding RNA (PPER_LNC007473)". The record is from RNAcentral. Lineage: Eukaryota; Viridiplantae; Streptophyta; Magnoliopsida; Rosales; Rosaceae.